RNAcentral lists this transfer RNA (76 nucleotides) under Desulfarculales bacterium. RNAcentral describes it as "tRNA-Lys". It matches the Rfam family "tRNA". Rfam says of the family: Transfer RNA (tRNA) molecules are approximately 80 nucleotides in length. Their secondary structure includes four short double-helical elements and three loops (D, anti-codon, and T loops). Further hydrogen bonds mediate the characteristic L-shaped molecular structure. tRNAs have two regions of fundamental functional importance: the anti-codon, which is responsible for specific mRNA codon recognition, and the 3' end, to which the tRNAs corresponding amino acid is attached (by aminoacyl-tRNA synthetases). tRNAs cope with the degeneracy of the genetic code in two manners: having more than one tRNA (with a specific anti-codon) for a particular amino acid; and 'wobble' base-pairing, i.e. permitting non-standard base-pairing at the 3rd anti-codon position. Lineage: Bacteria; Pseudomonadati; Thermodesulfobacteriota; Desulfarculia; Desulfarculales. The record is from RNAcentral.
GGGUUGCUAGCUCAACUGGCAGAGCACCGGACUCUUAAUCCGUAGGUUCCGAGUUCGAUUCUCGGGCAACCCACCA